CAGCCGCCGCGGUAAUACAGAGGGUGCGAGCGUUAAUCGGAUUUACUGGGCGUAAAGCGUGCGUAGGCGGCUUCUUAAGUCGGAUGUGAAAUCCCUGAGCUUAACUUAGGAAUUGCAUUCGAUACUGGGAAGCUAGAGUAUGGGAGAGGAUGGUAGAAUUCCAGGUGUAGCGGUGAAAUGCGUAGAGAUCUGGAGGAAUACCGAUGGCGAAGGCAGCCAUCUGGCCUAAUACUGACGCUGAGGUACGAAAGCAUGGGGAGCAAACAGGAUUAGAGACCCCCGUAGUCCCUGUCUCUUAUAC
This 301-nucleotide ribosomal RNA is filed under the name uncultured bacterium. RNAcentral's name for it is "partial 16S ribosomal RNA". It matches the Rfam family "Bacterial small subunit ribosomal RNA", at positions 509 to 807 of the family's 1533-position model. The record is from RNAcentral.